Molecule: ribosomal RNA, 484 nt
Filed under: uncultured bacterium
Lineage: Bacteria
Description: partial 16S ribosomal RNA
Rfam family: Bacterial small subunit ribosomal RNA
Source: RNAcentral
AUUGAACGCUGGCGGCAUGCCUUACACAUGCAAGUCGAACGGCAGCACGGACUUCGGUCUGGUGGCGAGUGGCGAACGGGUGAGUAAUGUAUCGGAACGUACCUUUCAGUGGGGGAUAACGUAGCGAAAGUUACGCUAAUACCGCAUAUUCUGUGAGUAGGAAAGCAGGGGAUCGAAAGACCUUGCGCUGAUUGAGCGGCCGAUAUCAGAUUAGCUAGUUGGUGGGGUAAAGGCCUACCAAGGCGACGAUCUGUAGCGGGUCUGAGAGGAUGAUCCGCCACACUGGAACUGAGACACGGUCCAGACUCCUACGGGAGGCAGCAGUGGGGAAUUUUGGACAAUGGGGGCAACCCUGAUCCAGCCAUGCCGCGUGAGUGAAGAAGGCCUUCGGGUUGUAAAGCUCUUUCGGCCGGGAAGAAAUCGCAUAGGCUAAUACCCUGUGUGGAUGACGGUACCGGAAUAAGAAGCACCGGCUAACUACGUG